This 994-nucleotide long non-coding RNA is filed under the name Hordeum vulgare. RNAcentral's name for it is "long non-coding RNA (HVUL_LNC000650)". Lineage: Eukaryota; Viridiplantae; Streptophyta; Magnoliopsida; Poales; Poaceae. The record is from RNAcentral.
AUUAAUUUGCAGAGGAAGUAUUACUAAAAAAAUUGAGUAAGACUUUCUCUUAUUUUAUUUUAUUUUAGACAAUCUCGUAAAACUUUAUUGAUAAAUGUUUAAAGGUACAAAUGAUAAAUCUCCCGGGGUGCCUAGCCAUACAUGUCAGCCUUUCCCUAACCUCAAAACAUAUUUCGCUAAAUUGUGAGUCUCGACAUUCGAGCUCAUAUAUUCAUGCACAACAUUGCAUGCCUGAAAAGACGAUUUGUGUUCUAAAAUUUCAUGUAAAAUAACACUGUAUGUUGUAGGCUGCUUGUCCUUGAUAUCAUCAACCAUCACCUUGCAAUCCGAAGCAACAUGUAUACGCUGAAUGUAUAGAUCAUUUGCUAGGGCAAAAGCCUUCUGGAUCGCCAGAGCUUCGAGUGUAGGUGCAUCCCCUAUAUCCUUGAAAACCAUCGCUCAAGCUCCUUGGAAAAGACCAUCGCGGUCACGACAUAUAGCGGCUGCCACUCCCUUUCUACAGUCGUGUGAUACAGCAGCGUCUACAUUGAUCUUUAGGUAAGACUCCAGAGGGCUAUUCCAUCCCCCCGUCCGAUGUAUAGUAUUUGACUGCGAGGAAGGUCCCCUACUCUCUGUCAAAGAGAGGUCAUUGAUGUAUGAUAUUAUGAAUUCAUUUACAGAUUGGGGGCUUUGAAAGAUGUCUUCAUAAAUCGCCUUCCUUCUAGCCCUUCAAAUUGCCCACAAAGUGACCACCAGUAGAGUAUAUUGUUUCUGUGUUGAUUGAUCAUGCAUAACAAAGAUUCACUUCUUGGCAUUGGGUUCAUUGUUCUGACUGAUUUUCUCAACCAAUAUUUCUUUAGAAAGAGCCCAAAUGCAUCUCGACGUGGUGCAUUCCAUGAACGCAUGUCUUCAAGAAUCAUUCUGACCACAUAGAGCACAAAGGCGUGUAUUUCUCUGCCUUUGAUCGAGAGGGGCUUUCUAGGAUUUAGAAUUUGGAUUUGAUGAAUUGGACCAG